GACGAACGCUGGCGGCGUGCUUAACACAUGCAAGUCGAACGGAAAGGCCCUGCUUUUGUGGGGUGCUCGAGUGGCGAACGGGUGAGUAACACGUGAGUAACCUGCCCUUGACUUUGGGAUAACUUCAGGAAACUGGGGCUAAUACCGGAUAGGAGCUCCUGCUGCAUGGUGGGGUUGGAAAGUUUCGGCGGUUGGGGAUGGACUCGCGGCUUAUCAGGUUGUUGGUGGGGUAGUGGCUUACCAAGGCUUUGACGGGUAGCCGGCCUGAGAGGGUGUCCGGGCACAUUGGGACUGAGAUACGGCCCAGACUCCUACGGGAGGCAGCAGUGGGGAAUAUUGCACAAUGGGCGGAAGCCUGAUGCAGCAACGCCGCGUGCGGGAUGACGGCCUUCGGGUUGUAAACCGCUUUCGCCGGUGACGAAGCGUGAGUGACGGUAAUGGGUAAAGAAGCACCGGCUAACUACGUG
This 467-nucleotide ribosomal RNA is filed under the name uncultured bacterium. Its description in RNAcentral is "partial 16S ribosomal RNA". It matches the Rfam family "Bacterial small subunit ribosomal RNA", at positions 28 to 507 of the family's 1533-position model. The record is from RNAcentral.